CUACGGGAGGCAGCAGGGAGGAAUAUUGGGCAAUGGCCGAAAGGCUGACCCAGCAACGCCGCGUGGAGGACGAAGACCUUCGGGUUGUAAACUCCUUUUCUGGGGGAAGAGAAAGGACGGUACCCCAGGAAUAAGUCACGGCUAACUACGUGCCAGCAGCCGCGGUAAAACGUAGGUGGCAAGCGUUAUCCGGAUUUACUGGGCGUAAAGCGCGCGCAGGUGGUAGCGUAAGUUGGAUGUGAAAUCUCCUGGCUCAACUGGGAGGGGUCGUUCAAGACUGCGUUGCUUGAGGUCGAGAGAGGAGUGCUGAAUUCCCGGUGUAGUGGUGGAAUGCGUAGAUAUCGGGAGGAACACCAGUGGCGAAGGCGGCUUCCUGGGACAUACCUGACACUGAGAAGCGAAAGCCAGGGGAGCAAACGGGAUUAGAUACCCCAGUAGUCC
Molecule: ribosomal RNA, 441 nt
Filed under: uncultured bacterium
Lineage: Bacteria
Description: bacterial SSU rRNA
Rfam family: Bacterial small subunit ribosomal RNA
Source: RNAcentral